Molecule: ribosomal RNA, 1506 nt
Filed under: metagenome
Description: bacterial SSU rRNA
Rfam family: Bacterial small subunit ribosomal RNA
Source: RNAcentral
AGAGUUUGAUCAUGGCUCAGGACGAACGCUGGCGGCGUGCCUAAUACAUGCAAGUAGAACGCUGAAGGGAGGAGCUUGCUCUUCUUGGAUGAGUUGCGAACGGGUGAGUAACGCGUAGGUAACCUGCCUUGUAGCGGGGGAUAACUAUUGGAAACGAUAGCUAAUACCGCAUAACAAUGGAUGACACAUGUCAUUUAUUUGAAAGGGGCAAUUGUUCCACUACAAGAUGGACCUGCGUUGUAUUAGCUAGUAGGUGAGGUAAUGGCUCACCUAGGCGACGAUACAUAGCCGACCUGAGAGGGUGAUCGGCCACACUGGGACUGAGACACGGCCCAGACUCCUACGGGAGGCAGCAGUAGGGAAUCUUCGGCAAUGGGGGCAACCCUGACCGAGCAACGCCGCGUGAGUGAAGAAGGUUUUCGGAUCGUAAAGCUCUGUUGUAAGUCAAGAACGGGUGUGAGAGUGGAAAGUUCACACUGUGACGGUAGCUUACCAGAAAGGGACGGCUAACUACGUGCCAGCAGCCGCGGUAAUACGUAGGUCCCGAGCGUUGUCCGGAUUUAUUGGGCGUAAAGCGAGCGCAGGCGGUUUGAUAAGUCUGAAGUUAAAGGCUGUGGCUCAACCAUAGUUCGCUUUGGAAACUGUCAAACUUGAGUGCAGAAGGGGAGAGUGGAAUUCCAUGUGUAGCGGUGAAAUGCGUAGAUAUAUGGAGGAGCACCGGUGGCGAAAGCGGCUCUCUGGUCUGUAACUGACGCUGAGGCUCGAAAGCGUGGGGAGCGAACAGGAUUAGAUACCCUGGUAGUCCACGCCGUAAACGAUGAGUGCUAGGUGUUGGAUCCUUUCCGGGAUUCAGUGCCGCAGCUAACGCAUUAAGCACUCCGCCUGGGGAGUACGACCGCAAGGUUGAAACUCAAAGGAAUUGACGGGGGCCCGCACAAGCGGUGGAGCAUGUGGUUUAAUUCGAAGCAACGCGAAGAACCUUACCAGGUCUUGACAUCCCGAUGCUAUUUCUAGAGAUAGAAAGUUACUUCGGUACAUCGGUGACAGGUGGUGCAUGGUUGUCGUCAGCUCGUGUCGUGAGAUGUUGGGUUAAGUCCCGCAACGAGCGCAACCCCUAUUGUUAGUUGCCAUCAUUCAGUUGGGCACUCUAGCGAGACUGCCGGUAAUAAACCGGAGGAAGGUGGGGAUGACGUCAAAUCAUCAUGCCCCUUAUGACCUGGGCUACACACGUGCUACAAUGGUUGGUACAACGAGUUGCGAGUCGGUGACGGCGAGCUAAUCUCUUAAAGCCAAUCUCAGUUCGGAUUGUAGGCUGCAACUCGCCUACAUGAAGUCGGAAUCGCUAGUAAUCGCGGAUCAGCACGCCGCGGUGAAUACGUUCCCGGGCCUUGUACACACCGCCCGUCACACCACGAGAGUUUGUAACACCCGAAGUCGGUGAGGUAACCUUUUGGAGCCAGCCGCCUAAGGUGGGACAGAUGAUUGGGGUGAAGUCGUAACAAGGUA